UUUGGAAGAAGUCACAUCGGAUAGCCAUCUUGUGAUCAAGCUCUAUAAAUGCUUUGCUUAUUCAAGGACUUGUUCGUGUUGUUGACGUGCUGUUUAUACGCAUCUUCUAUACAUGGAAACAUAAAGUAUUCACGGAAAUUGUACAAGCAUAUUAUAACCUAAAUGACAAGAUAAAAAGAAGAUUAACUUUGUAUAACAUGAGAGAGAAACAGUUCUGCGACAAUCUGUAACUUAGAGCAUUUGGGCAACUGUAAAUGACCAGUUGAGAAGACAAGGGAAUACAUCCCCGAAGUCCUGACAUAUUUUAGAUUUAACAAGAGGGUAACCUAAAAAUGGAACUGAGAACGAGACCACCUGCAGGUAAACAAUAUUAUUAUAUCACCUAUAAAUAAACAAGUCCUAAACGGUUCAGUGUACGAUAUGCUAAGUAAAUAUAGUUUAUAAAUCAUGGGUUUUGUAUUUUCCAUAAGAAACAAUAUAAUCCAAUUUAGAUUUGGCCUUUUCUUGCUUUAGAGUUACAAAAUAUGUUAGAAUCCUUGUAAAUUGAUUCAUUCUUUCAAACUGACACAAAAAUGUUCUUUUGAAUCCUCUUUUUUCUCUAUGCUCAACAGAUUCAGAAAUAAGAAAUCAAAUCGAGUUUUGUAUAAGAUUUGUCCGGCCUUUAAAUGCGAUACCAUUAAAAAAUAUCAAGGCUGUUUUUGACGAACUACAUGAGAUCAAAGGAAAGGAAUUGGAUUUCAAACAUUGUAAUUUUCUCAUAAUGAAUCAAGUGUUUAUGUGGGCGUGCUAGUGCCGCCAUGACGCUAUUAUGAAUCUGACUUCAAUAUAAACGAAAUGUAACAAUAUGAACAUGACCGAACUGUAGUUUCAAAAAGUUGUCUUUAUACUUGUUUAUAAUAAAUAAUUAACAUAAAAUAUUUUUAUUGUAAAUAUAUUUAAUAACUUCUAUUCGAGUCAGUUUCAACCAAACUACAAGUAAAUGUGGUAAAGAAUAGCUUAUUAAUAUAUCUCUAAUAAUUUGUCGAUUGAAUGCUAUAGUGUUCUAUGUCCAAGUUGCUAAAAUAAGGAGUUUGACUGACCUUUGGAAUUCAUCUUAUCAUAUUCUUAGUCCAUGACCAAUCUGAAGUGUCGCAAUUUAAUUGUAAGAAAAGUCCAGAGAUAUUUAGCUUAAUGCCAGAAUCAUAUAACUCCACCUCUGAUUUAUGUGGGGAAGUUGGCAUUUACUUGCGGAGAACAGGUUUGUACUGGUACAGAAUCCAGGAACACUGGUUAGGUUAACUGCCCGCUGUUACAUGACUGAAAUACUGUUGAAAAAACGGCAUUAAACCCAAAACAAACAAACAAAUACGCUUAAAUGGGAUUAAGAAUAAUGUAGCAUUCAUCUCACGAUUUAAAAAAAAAAAAAAAAAAAAAAAAAAAACAACAUGUGUGUACAGGGUAGUGUGUGUUUAUUUAUAUGUAGGGGAGACCGGAGCACCACAUGGGCACCAUUGGGACAUCAGAUGUAACUUUUUUCUGGAAAGUAAACUGGUCUAUCUGAAUCGCUAAAAAUCUUGCCUUUUUCAAGCUGUUUUUUAACGGAGUUUGAAGGCGGGUGGAUUUAAAAUAAAACUUCAGUUUAGUGUUUUCAUUUUUUUUUACUACUCUCAGGAUAAAAAAACAUCACAAAUAUUGUCUCAUGAAGUUCUGCGGUAAACACUUUGAAAUCAUUUCUAUAUCACUAUAUAUAAAGUAUACAUUCAUUGAUAAUUUCACAAAAUGUUUAAUCCCAGUGAAGCAGAUGACCUUCAUAUUAUUUUGAAGAUGUAAGGGUGGUGGGGUUUGGGCACGAUGGGACACAUGCAAUUGGGCACUAUGGAACAGUGUUAAGUACAGCUGGAAGAAACCCACAAGCUAUCACAUCGGUAAAUUAAUGCAUACAAAUGUAAAAAACUUGACCUGUGAGUUUUCUGAAAUGUCAAUCCACGAAAAUGACAUUGUAAUAAACUUGCCUCUACCAAGCAAAACAGCAGGCACUGCAAAAGCUGAAAAUUGCUGAGAUCUGACCUCGACUUAACUCAUUAUUUCUGAGUAAAGGCAUGGAUAUUGUGACAUGCCAUUACUGGAUAAAUCAGUUAUGAGAAGUCAGUUUAUACUUUAAGUUGAGAAGUUAAUAAACAAAUAUGUUUAUUCAUUCAAUAUUGUUUUAUUUUUUAACCUAAAGCAUAAAUGUUGUCUCAGGUAGGUCUGUCAUUGUACUUAAUUGACAUUUGAUUCGUCUGUGUCUUAAUGAUGAUGUUUUAGAAUUGUCAUUGCAACUAGGAUGAAGUAAAGUCCAUAGAUUUGUUUAUAUUUCAAUAAAAUUAAAGAUUUAAGGUUGUUUCAAGUUAAAGGUAGGUCUGUCGUUGUAAUUGACUGGCAAUUGAUUAGUCUCUUUCUUGAUGUUGAUGUUUAAGCAUUUUUUUAUCAUUGCAGUUCAGCUGGAAUAAAGUUUAGAGAUUUGUUUUUAUAUGUCAUUGUCCCAUGGUUGUCAUGAUGUGUCCCGUGGUGCCCCGGAUUCGGGUUACAAUGGGACAUUUUAGUGGUAGUCUUCUAUGAUGCAUAUCUCAGAAACGAUAGCACAAAACAUGACCAUUGACUACCCCUCAUGUACAUGAAAUAUUAUACUUCAAAAUAGUAUGGCAAUCACAGAAAGUUACUUCGAAAUGUUUUAGAACAACGAAAAAAUGUUUGUCCCAAUGUGCCCAGUCUCUCCUAGUAUAUUGCUGAUAUUGUUUCUCGACUCACUUUAAUGUCAUAUGAAUUACCGCGCAAUGUCAGUUUAACUUUAUUCAGUUUUACAGAGUCACAGUAGUCACAUGUAUAUCUUGUAUCAUUAGCUUUAUAAACAUUUAUAAUACUGUAGUACUUAAGUCGUUUGCUUCUGAAUUUCGUGUAAAUGAAACGAAAAGUGGAGACCUACCCAAGAAAAUCUAAGGCGAACAACUCUGAAUUGACCAAUAAACUGAUGCCAACAUAAAUCAUUGGUCAAAAGUGAAAGAAAAAUCAAAUAGGUCCUUUUACCAACAACUGAUCAGGCAGACAAAUAUGACCUAAAUUUGUUUAAAUCUCUUUGUAUUCAAUAUACAACAUGCACACUUUUCUCAUAGCUUACACUGACAGUUAUUUUAUAAGUUGUAGUGAGGCCCUGAUAGAAAGUUUGAUCUUUAAAAAAAAAAAAUUGGUAUCACGUUUAUGUAACAACGUAGCUAGACUGGUUAUAUUCAUCGUUUCAGCUAAUCAUUUUGAAAGUGUUUCUUUUGCAUGAUUCAUUUGAUUCAGAAGCAUUUCUGUGACUGUUCAAGAGUACUUUGCUACAAAUAAUGUAACACAAAACGUAAGAGUCAUCAACUGAAAUUACAACAUAUUAAAGUAUAUACUCUAUACAGUUAUAGGACAAGGGUAGAGAAGGAAAUUCUCCUAGAUUGCUAAGAUGGUGCAUAUAAUUAAUAUUAAAACCCAAAGUCAAUAAAAUGGACAUUAACAUUCAGCAGUGGAGCUAUAGAUUACAACAGUGGUCAAAUCUGGACAAUGUGUGAAAUGAUAAGGAGGAAUGUGUAAGACAAAACAUUGUGAUACCAUACAGUAUAAAAUGUCAUACCUCAUAAAUGUGAAACAACUCUGUUCAAGCAUCACUGAAGUCAUUAAAAAUGUCAAGGUUAUUAUGAUAUAUAUGAAACAAAAACUUGUGAAUUAAAAUACAAUUAACAUGUAAAUUAAAAAAUAUUGAAGAAGACAUACAGAAAAGUACUUUAGUUUAAAACUUGUCAUAUAGAUUCAAGUGUAACUCAGAUACUAAAUCAAUUAUUUUUGAGCUCUGAAAUUACGAAAAAUGGAAACAUGCAUAAUACUUUAAUACAUAACUGUAAUUACUUAAACAUGUCAUUCUUUUGUUAUAAAUGUGUACAGUCAACAAACUGAUUUAACAUUAGGACACAUAAAAGGAAGUGCCUUGGGGUAUGAAUCCGUAUCUGUAGACAAGCCUGUUAGCGUUUUUCUAGGGUAGGGACUUCCUUAAAGUUUUAAAGCCAUACGACAAACAGUUAAGGCAAAAUAUGGACUAUCAUGAACAAUUUAACUGAUCUCCAAGUCCAAAAAGUGCCAUAAUUCAGGCAAAAUAGUUGACAGAGUUAUGUACUCUUGCCUACAAAUGGAAAUCAUGAUGAUAAGCAAGUGUUCAGUGUCAAAUAGUUUUGGACUUGUACAAAAACUGAACCAAUUUCAAAGUCCAAAACGGGCCAUAAUUCUGCCAGACUAUUUGUCAGAGUUAUGUACUUUUGCCUACAGAUAGAGGUUGUUAUGAUAAUCAAGUGAUAAAUGUUUCAAAGCCAUAUGUCAAACACCUUACAUAAAAUAUGAACUGGUACGAAAAACUAAACCAAGAAUUUCAAGUCAAAAGGGCCCAUAAUUAAGCCAAAAUCGUUGAUGGAGUUAUGUACUCUUGCCUAUAACUGGACAUAGUGAUGGUAAACAAGUGUUGAAAGUGUCAAAGCUUUAUCUCAAAAGACUUUGUCAAAAUGUGGACUGUUACAAAAAUAUUAACCAAGGUGUGACGCCACCGCCGACGCCCUGGUGAGUAGGAAAGCUCAUUCUUCGAAAUGUCGAGGUAAUAGGCAUAAAAAUAUUACCUAUUUAUUUUGUUAUUAAGCAAGAUAUAAUGAUAAUCGACAAGGAACUGAUUAUUUAAUAAUGCAUUAACCGACAUUAAGUAAAAGAAACUGUUCGUGAAAACGUCCCUUGUAUCUCGUAACGGCUACUAAAUGUCUGGAAAACAUAAAUACUCUACGGGUAAAUUAUCGUUAAAAAUAGUUUUGUUUUCAUAACAUAUUUAACAUUCUUUUGUUUAAUCUUUAUAUCUUUGUGUCUGCCAGUUCGAAUCCUCAUGAUUUAUUUGGUGUUUCUCGAUUAUUUACCUUUCGAAAGAUCGGGUGAACUUUGUUAUCUGUAAACCAUCUAGAUCCAAGAUUAAGGUGAAUACUGAUGAAGGCUUGCUUGUUAUUUCAUUUUCAA
Molecule: long non-coding RNA, 5028 nt
Organism: Mercenaria mercenaria
Lineage: Eukaryota; Metazoa; Mollusca; Bivalvia; Venerida; Veneridae
Exons: 3
Source: RefSeq, a predicted model, not a curated record